This 1380-nucleotide non-coding RNA is filed under the name Oryza sativa Indica Group (long-grained rice). RNAcentral's name for it is "Bacterial large subunit ribosomal RNA". It matches the Rfam family "Bacterial large subunit ribosomal RNA", at positions 1 to 1434 of the family's 2925-position model. The record is from Rfam by way of RNAcentral. Lineage: Eukaryota; Viridiplantae; Streptophyta; Magnoliopsida; Poales; Poaceae.
GAUCAAGUGCCUUAAGGGCAUCUGGUGGAUGCCUUGGCGCUGAGAGGCGAUGAAGGACGUGGCACGCUGCGAAAAGUCAUGGGGAGCUGCGAGCAAGCUUUGAUCCGUGAAUAUCCGAAUGGGGAAACCCACCUAGCAAUAGGUAUCCCAAACUGAAUACAUAGGUUUGGGAAGCGAACCCGGGGAACUGAAACAUCUAAGUACCCGGAGGAAAGGACAUCAACCGAGACUCCGCUAGUAGUGGCGAGCGAACGCGGACCAGGCCAGUGGUCAAUUCUACAUAACUGGAACCGUCUGGAAAGUCGGGCCAAAGCGGGUGAUAGCCCCGUACAGGUAAAUCGGAAUUGAUCCUCGAGUAGGGCGGGACACGUGAAAUCCUGUCUGAACAUGGGGGGACCACCCUCCAAGCCUAAGUACUCCUCAGUGACCGAUAGUGAACCAGUACCGUGAGGGAAAGGUGAAAAGCACCCCGACGAGGGGAGUGAAACAGCACCUGAAACCGGAUGCCUACAAACAGUCGGAGCCUCCUUGCGGGGUGACGGCGUACCUUUUGUAUAAUGGGUCAGCGACUUAGAGUACGAGCAAGCUUAAGCCGAUAGGCGAAGGCGCAGCGAAAGCGAGUCUGAACAGGGCGUUCAGUUCGUGGCUCUAGACCCGAAACCAGGUGAUCUAGCCAUGCGCAGGAUGAAGGUGCGGUAACACGCACUGGAGGUCCGAACCAGUGCCCGUUGAAAAGGUCUUGGAUGACGUGUGGUUAGGGGUGAAAGGCCAAUCAAACCUGGACAUAGCUGGUUCUCCGCGAAAGCUAUUUAGGUAGCGCCUCGAGCGAAUGCCGUGCGGGGUAGAGCACUGGAUGGGCUAGGGCCGCCCACAGCGGUACCGCACUCAACCAAACUCCGAAUACGCACGAGCACUACUCGGGAGACACACGGCGGGUGCUAACGUCCGUCGUGAAGAGGGCAACAACCCUGACCGACAGCUAAGGCCCCCAAUUCGUGGCUAAGUGGGAAAGGAUGUGGGACUCCCAAAACAACCAGGAGGUUGGCUUAGAAGCAGCCAUCCUUUAAAGAAAGCGUAACAGCUCACUGGUCUAGCCAAGGGGUCCUGCGCCGAAAAUGUAACGGGGCUCAAGCCACGAGCCGAAGCUUCGGGUGUGACGCAAGAUGAGCGGUAGCGGAGCGUUCCCUAGGCUGAUGAAGGGAGACCCGUGAGGGCUCCUGGAGGUAUGGGAAGUGCGAAUGCUGACAUGAGUAACGACAAAGAGUGUGAAAGACACUCUCGCCGAAAGUCCAAGGGUUCCUGCGUAAAGUUAAUCUGCGCAGGGUCAGCCGGCCCCUCACGGCGAGGCCGAAAGGCGUAGUCGAUGGGAAUGGGGCGAAU